GGAAUAUUGGACAAUGGGGGCAACCCUGAUCCAGCCAUGCCGCGUGUGUGAAGAAGGCUUUCGGGUUGUAAAGCACUUUCAGUGGGGAAGAAGGCCUCGGGCUUACUACGCGUGAGGAAGGACAUCCCCCAUAGCAGAAGCACCGGCUAACUCCGUGCCAGCAGCCGCGGUAAUACGGAGGGGGCGAGCGUUAAUCGGAAUUACUGGGCGUAAAGCGCGCGUAGGCGGCUAAGUAAGCCGGUUGUGAAAGCCCCGGGCUCAACCUGGGAACGGCAUCCGGAACUGUUUAGCUAGAGUGCAGGAGAGGAAGGUAGAAUUCCCGGUGUAGCGGUGAAAUGCGUAGAGAUCGGGAGGAAUACCAGUGGCGAAGGCGGCCUUCUGGACUGACACUGACGCUGAGGUGCGAAAGCGUGGGGAGCA
This 420-nucleotide ribosomal RNA is filed under the name uncultured bacterium. RNAcentral's name for it is "bacterial SSU rRNA". It matches the Rfam family "Bacterial small subunit ribosomal RNA", at positions 358 to 770 of the family's 1533-position model. The record is from RNAcentral.